Molecule: ribosomal RNA, 430 nt
Filed under: Lamponius guerini
Lineage: Eukaryota; Metazoa; Arthropoda; Insecta; Phasmatodea; Pseudophasmatidae
Description: partial 16S ribosomal RNA
Source: RNAcentral
AAAACAUCUUUUCUUGUAUUUUAUUUGAGAUUUGGCCUGCCCAAUGAUUUAUUUAAUGGCCGCGGUAUCUUGACCGUGCAAAGGUAGCAUAAUCAUUAGUCUAAUAAUUGUAGACUUGUAUGAAUGGUUGGACGAAAUAUUAACUGUCUCGUAUUUAUUUAUAUAAUUUGAAUUUUUAGUCAAAAUGCUUAAAUUUUUUUAUUGGACGAGAAGACCCUAUAGAUCUUUAUUUUCAUUUAUUAUUUUUUAUUUGGUUUAUAUUAUUUAUUAUUUUAGUAUGAAUUUUUUGUUGGGGUGACAUUGAGAUAAAAUUAACUCUUUAUUUUUUUAUUCAUUUAUUUUUGUUUUAUUGACCUUUUAUUAUUGAUUUAAGAUAUAGAUACCUUAGGGAUAACAGCGUUAUUCUUUUUGAGAGUUCAUAUCGACAAUG